CGAAAGCUAGGGUAGCGAAACAGAUUAGAUACCUGAGUAGUCCUAGCUGUAAACGAUGUCCGCUAGCUCUUUGCGCAAGCAAGGGGUGUAAGCUAACGCGUUAAGCGGACCGCCUGGGGAGUACGGCCGCAAGGCUAAAACUCAAAGGAAUUGACGGGGACCCGCACAACCAGUGGAGCGUGUGGUUCAAUUCGUUACUAAGCGAAAAACCUCACCAGGGUUUGACAUGCUAUCGUACAUUCUUCUGGAAACAGAAGGAAAUCCGCAAGGAUGAUAGCACAGGUGCUGCAUGGCUGUCGUCAGCUCGUGCCGUGAGGUGUUCCCUUAAGUGGGACAACGAGCGCAACCCCCAUCUCGAGUUAUAAGUGUCUCGAGAGACUGCUCCGCCUUUGGCGGAGAGGAAGGAGGGGCAGACGUCAAGUCAGCAUGGUCCUUAUACCCUGGGCUACACACAUGUUACAAUGAGUACAACAACGAGCUUUGCGAGCUUGCAAAAGUAUGCAAAUCUCUUAAAUGUAUUCUCAGUGGGGAUUGAGGUCUGAAACCCGACCUCAUGAACUUGGAAUUGGUAGUAAUCGCGGAUCAGCAACGCCGCGGUGAAUACGUUCUUGCCUCUUGCACACACCGCCCGUCAAACAAACAAAGUCGGAAGCAUUUGAACCUCGCCUUCGGCGGGGGAGGAUAUUUUCGGCGAUGGGUGUUAAGUCGUAACAAGGUAGCCGUA
This 724-nucleotide ribosomal RNA is filed under the name uncultured bacterium. Its description in RNAcentral is "bacterial SSU rRNA". It matches the Rfam family "Bacterial small subunit ribosomal RNA", at positions 754 to 1504 of the family's 1533-position model. The record is from RNAcentral.